This 449-nucleotide long non-coding RNA is filed under the name Mustela putorius furo (domestic ferret). RNAcentral describes it as "lncRNA (ENSMPUG00000025959.1)". The record is from RNAcentral. Lineage: Eukaryota; Metazoa; Chordata; Mammalia; Carnivora; Mustelidae.
CCCCCGUCACCCGAACGCCGCUCUCUCAUAGGCUGGAGCUCUACCUGCAGCCCCACCCCGCGCCUUGGCCCCGUCGCCGCGCCCAGUUUGAAGCUUCCUCCCGGCCGCGUGGGCAAGUGUUGCUUGGAGCUGACCGCUGAGGCUCCAAGCGUUUCCUACCUCAGCGCGAGGUUCUGGGGAGGUGUCACAGAUGUGUCUCAGAGGUGGCAGAACUUGAUGUGGACCUUGAAGGUGAAGAAUUUGGAUGAGGCAAUUGGGACAUUCCAGGUGAGAGAAAGGUGUGCAAGACGGCUCUUGUUGUGGGCCAGGUGCAGGACAUAAAGUGGAUUAGGAGGUACAAACUUCCAGUUAUAAAAUAAAUAAGUCACAAAGAUGAAAAGUAUAGCAUAGGGAAGAUAGUUAAUAAUACUGUAAUAACAUUGUAUGGUGGCAGAUAGUGACUAAACUUA